UACGUAGGAUGCAAGCGUUGUCCGGAAUUAUUGGGCGUAAAGAGCGCGCAGGCGGUGUAUCAAGUCAGAUGUGAAAGAGGCCGGCUUAACCGGCAAGGGUCAUUUGAAACUGAUAGACUAGAGUGCAGCAGAGGAUAGUGGAAUUCCCGGUGUAGUGGUGAAAUGCGUAGAUAUCGGGAGGAACACCAGUGGCGAAGGCGGUUGCCUGGGGCUUUGCUGACGCUGAGGAGCGAAAGCGUGGGGAGCGAACAGG
RNAcentral lists this ribosomal RNA (253 nucleotides) under uncultured bacterium. RNAcentral describes it as "partial 16S ribosomal RNA". It matches the Rfam family "Bacterial small subunit ribosomal RNA", at positions 524 to 776 of the family's 1533-position model. The record is from RNAcentral.